Humulus lupulus (European hop) is the source of this 291-nucleotide long non-coding RNA. RefSeq lists it as uncharacterized. NCBI's taxonomy places the organism in Eukaryota, Viridiplantae, Streptophyta, Magnoliopsida, Rosales, Cannabaceae. The record is from RefSeq and is a predicted model, not a curated record. The transcript is spliced from 2 exons.
UUUGUUGCAACACCAGAGAUGGUAGAUGAUGGUGUGUGGUACGCUGACAGCGGAGCUACAAACCAUGUGACAGCUGAACUUGCAAAUCUGAAUCUGAAAAAUGAGUAUACUGGACCUAGUAACAAGGAGGGCUCUUCUUCAAGGGAAGCUUAAAGAGGGUCUCUACCAGUUUGGGAAUAUCAAAGGCUUACGGAAUCGGUCAUCACCAAAGGUCCCCAAAACUGAGCCCAUUUUCUUUACUGGUUUAGUCUCAAAAUUCAAAGAAAGCCAACAUGUUGUUGAGCCCUUUUA